RNAcentral lists this unclassified non-coding RNA (396 nucleotides) under Hevea brasiliensis (rubber tree). The record is from RNAcentral. Lineage: Eukaryota; Viridiplantae; Streptophyta; Magnoliopsida; Malpighiales; Euphorbiaceae.
ACACUACAUGAUUCAUUAUUACAUUUCACCAUUAGUAUUAGUCUCCGUGGUAAAAUCUCAAGUCAACUGUGUGCUUUCCUCUGAGCCAGUAGAACUAACGCUCAGAAGAAAGCCCUACUCCCAAAAAAUCCCAUAAAACACGCGGGAGCCACUGUUCUUUGACGACUGCACUUUCUGAUCAGAAGUUGAACUUCCUGAACUUGUUGGUCCACUAUCAAUGUCCAAUGGAAGCUUCAUCUUUGCCAAUGACUCCGUGAAUUGCUGCAUACUCUUCAUGUACAUAUCUACUAUAUCCUGUUGUACCACAUUCUGCUCUGGUUCCAAAUUAACUGAAAUAACAGGCUUUGCAAUUUUCUCACUUUGUGCCCCACCAGAGGAAUCAGUCUCACCAUCUCC